CCAUCUGGCUGUAGAGUACUCUAA
RNAcentral lists this non-coding RNA (24 nucleotides) under Cricetulus griseus (Chinese hamster). Lineage: Eukaryota; Metazoa; Chordata; Mammalia; Rodentia; Cricetidae. The record is from RNAcentral.